UUCUUUCCCGGGGUUUUGUUUUGGUUUUAAACAGGCAUGUGGCGGAGGACCCAGCCGUUUGGUGUCUGCUGAGACCCAGGAACUCAUCCGCGUGACCCCUGGCUGACCGCAGCUCGCUCUGUCGGGACGGACGGACCGCCUGGCUUCAGGGCUGCCCGGAGGCAGGGCUCCCGGCCGGCCAAGCAGGGCUGCCACCCUAGACCUCUGAGACGAGCGCCGGGCGGGGCUGCACGCUGAGGCUUGGGGUCACCACAGAGUGGAGACCGGGGGCUCAGGAGGUUUGUCCUCCCAGUCUUGGAAGAGCUCCCCAUUUCUUCGCAAGCUCCAGAACCGUGGCCGGCUGCCGCCUGCUUCUCCGCUAAGCCCCAGGGGUCCUGGCUGCAGAGGGGUCUUCGUUGCGGGGGUCCCGUGAGUCGGAAGGUGGGCGCCCGUCAAAGGCAGGACGUGGGAUGGGUUGGCUCUGCUCAGUGAGCAAAGGAGACGUCUAUGGGGGUAAAAGGGCAUGGAGCCCGGCGACCAAGCGGGGAGAGGGGCACUUCCGUUGCUCCCAGUCAGUGAAGUCAGUGGCUCAGCAUCAGACUGGCUGAUUCUCCAAAAAAGGGAUUCAGAAUGUGUCCUUUUUCAUCCAGUUAGGGAAAAUGGAGAGGAAAAACAAACUGCUUCAUGUUCAUAAAGCAAGGCCCAACGGACCUACACUGCCUGCCCACCUCCUGUGCCACCAGGUGGAGAAGGUAGAUGUUCUUACGGGAUGGCUGCCUUGUCUGCGAUGAGGUUCAGAAGUGCCUUCGUAUCUACAGCUGCCCUCCGAUCAAAGCUAGGCCAACCCUAUAAUACCUGGGGACACCAGGCAGUCCUAGAGAAGGGCUUGCAAGCGACUCA
Tupaia belangeri chinensis (Chinese tree shrew) is the source of this 879-nucleotide long non-coding RNA. RefSeq lists it as uncharacterized. The record is from RefSeq and is a predicted model, not a curated record. The transcript is spliced from 2 exons. NCBI's taxonomy places the organism in Eukaryota, Metazoa, Chordata, Mammalia, Scandentia, Tupaiidae.